UGGGGAAUUUUGGACAAUGGGCGAAAGCCUGAUCCAGCAAUGCCGCGUGUGUGAAGAAGGCCUUCGGGUUGUAAAGCACUUUUGUCCGGAAAGAAAUCCUCUGGGUUAAUACCUCGGGGGGAUGACGGUACCGGAAGAAUAAGCACCGGCUAACUACGUGCCAGCAGCCGCGGUAAUACGUAGGGUGCAAGCGUUAAUCGGAAUUACUGGGCGUAAAGCGUGCGCAGGCGGUUUUGUAAGACGGAUGUGAAAUCCCCGGGCUUAACCUGGGAACUGCAUUCGUGACUGCAAGGCUAGAGUAUGGCAGAGGGGGGUAGAAUUCCACGUGUAGCAGUGAAAUGCGUAGAGAUGUGGAGGAAUACCGAUGGCGAAGGCAGCCCCCUGGGCCAAUACUGACGCUCAUGCACGAAAGCGUGGGGAGCAAACAGGAUUAGAUACCCUGGUAGUCCACGCCCUAAACGAUGUCAACUAGUUGUUGGGGAUUCAUUUCCUUAGUAACGUAGCUAACGCGUGAAGUUGACCGCCUGGGGAGUACGGUCGC
Molecule: ribosomal RNA, 541 nt
Filed under: uncultured bacterium
Lineage: Bacteria
Description: partial 16S ribosomal RNA
Rfam family: Bacterial small subunit ribosomal RNA
Source: RNAcentral